This 541-nucleotide ribosomal RNA is filed under the name uncultured bacterium. RNAcentral describes it as "bacterial SSU rRNA". It matches the Rfam family "Bacterial small subunit ribosomal RNA", at positions 777 to 1317 of the family's 1533-position model. The record is from RNAcentral.
AAUAGAUACCCGGGUAGUCCAUGCUGUAAACGAUGAGAACUAGAUGUUAGGGGGCAUGACCUCUUAGUAUCGAAGCUAACGCGAUAAGUUCUCCGCCUGGGGAGUACGGCCGCAAGGUUAAAACUCAAAGAAAUUGACGGGGGCCCGCACAAGCGGUGGAGCAUGUGGUUUAAUUCGAUGCAACGCGAAGAACCUUACCUACCUUUGAAUCCACGGAACCUAGCAGAGAUGUUGGGGUGCCUUCGGGAACCGUGAGACAGGUGCUGCAUGGCUGUCGUCAGCUCGUGUCGUGAGAUGUUGGGUUAAGUCCCGUAACGAGCGCAACCCUUGUCCUUAGUUGCCAUCAGGUUAUGCUGGGGCACUUUAAGGAGACUGCCGGUGAUAAACCGGAGGAAGGUGGGGAUGACGUCAAGUCCUCAUGGCCCUUACAGGUAGGGCUACACACGUGCUACAAUGGGCAGUACAGAGGGAAGCCAACCCGCGAGGGGGAGCGAAUCUCAUAAAGCUGUUCGUAGUCCGGAUUGGAGUCUGCAACUCGACU